This 559-nucleotide ribosomal RNA is filed under the name uncultured bacterium. Its description in RNAcentral is "bacterial SSU rRNA". It matches the Rfam family "Bacterial small subunit ribosomal RNA", at positions 342 to 915 of the family's 1533-position model. The record is from RNAcentral.
CGGGAGGCAGCAGUCGGGAAUAUUGCGCAAUGGAGGAAACUCUGACGCAGUGACGCCGCGUGCAGGAAGAAGGUUUUCGGAUUGUAAACUGCUUUAGACAGGGACGAAAUAAAUGACGGUACCUGUAGAAUAAGCUCCGGCUAACUACGUGCCAGCAGCCGCGGUAAUACGUAGGGAGCAAGCGUUAUCCGGAUUUAUUGGGUGUAAAGGGUGCGUAGACGGAAAGACAAGUUAGUUGUGGAAUACCCCGGCUUAACUGAGGAACUGCAACUAAAACUAUCUAUCUUGAGUACUGGAGGGGAAAGCGGAAUUCCUAGUGUAGCGGUGAAAUGCGUAGAUAUUAGGAAGAACACCGGUGGCGAAGGCGGCUUUCUGGACAGUAACUGACGUUGAUGCACGAAAGUGUGGGGAGCAAACAGGAUUAGAUACCCUGGUAGUCCACACCGUAAACGAUGGAUACUAGGUGUAGGUGAUGAUAAGUCAUCUGUGCCGUCGCAAACGCAGUAAGUAUCCCACCUGGGGAGUACGGCCGCAAGGUUGCAACUCAAAGGAAUUGACG